UGCCCGCGCUCAUGCCGUCCUUCACACGGAUGACCUCACUGCAGCCUUGCAGUAAUAGCUUCUGUGUGCAUCAUUAUUCAUAGCUUAAAAAGCCAGCUGAAGGAAACCCAGUGAUGUGUCAAAGGUCAGAGUGGGGUGGCAGCACUCCUACUCAGACUGACGUCUUCUGACCCGAGUGCGGUGCUCGGGUCUCUGGCUGCGGGGGCUGCGCCGCGGCUGGCCUCGGACUCAGCGCAGCACGGGGCGCAAAGGCCCGGGCGCUUCCCGCCGCUGCUCAGCUGCCUCCUGUCCAGGAAAAUGCUUUUGGGGACUGAGGAAGACGGUCACAGAGAAAUGUGUAGUUGGCGUCGAUUUCCGACGGUUGGGCAAUGGCUUCCGCCAUCUGGCCCAGGUGACGUCAGCCGUCUGGAUUCCCGCCCGUGUUCUGCGGCCCAGGAACCAGGCUCCCGCCUGGCUGGGCUCCAGGCCGUCUCCGGCCUCCCGGAGGAGCAGGUCUUAAUUUGCAACGUGAGGAACUGAAAAUCAGAUCUCAGGAAGAUUUUGAUACAGAAAAUCCGGUAAAAAUGGGGAAGAAGAGUUCGGGGGACACUGGAUAAAGGCGACAGGGGGCCCCUCCAUCUGGGGUGUGGAGCCUUUCCUGGGACAGGAGGGGGGCAUCCGCUGGUCAGGCUGGGAGGCUGAAGACUUUGUGACUAACAGACACGAGUACACUGGGGGCGGACGAGGAGAAAGGUGAUCUUGCAGGUAUGUUUCAUCAGUCCUAUUGUGCAGAGCUGGAUGCUGAAACUCGCCCACAGUCAAACAAGGAUUUGAGCGCAGAGCUUUCCUAACUCCUUCCAGUCCUCUGAGCCAAGGGAACAGUGGGCAGAAAUGUCAGAGACCACUUAUUCCCAGCUCUGUGACCUUGUCCUACAGGGCACAGCAGGAAAGCCACCGUCUCCAGGCAAUCCCCACACAGUGAGGGGUGGAGCAGGGAUGUGGUCAUUUGUUCCAGCAGCACCCCGAUUUUGUCUGUGACGUCAACGUGCCUCCUUGAAAGCCCUCGCUCCCCAGACUUCUCCGAGCCUCGAAGUGGCCACACGACCGUUGGGCAAAAGUCCUUACGAAGCCAACCCAGACGGAGACGUUCCCUUGUGCAGAGUCCACGGCACUUAGCUGCUAUAGCCUUGGCAACGGUCGGCAAACUGGCACGUCUUGCAUUGGACUGACUCCUUUCCCCGCCCUUUGGGCUCCUGAAGUCAAGAACUGUCCUGUACUUAGUGGCACAUUGAACUUGCUUGAUAAUUAUUCCUUGAACUCAACCGGAAAGUCCAAUUUGGAGAGGACAGAUAUACACCAAACAUGAUACAUUUAAAUAAAGUGGAGAAUAUUUUCCUUGAGAAAUGCCUUCUUUGCAAGCCUUUGCCACGUUGGUAUAGGACUGGGAAGAAAAGGUGUGGC
Molecule: long non-coding RNA, 1440 nt
Organism: Lemur catta (Ring-tailed lemur)
Lineage: Eukaryota; Metazoa; Chordata; Mammalia; Primates; Lemuridae
Exons: 5
Source: RefSeq, a predicted model, not a curated record